Vicugna pacos (alpaca) is the source of this 288-nucleotide non-coding RNA. Lineage: Eukaryota; Metazoa; Chordata; Mammalia; Artiodactyla; Camelidae. The record is from RefSeq and is a predicted model, not a curated record.
AAUCCAUAACCUUUUAUAAUGUCAAAAACUCAUCAUGGGGAGGGUGGAAACAACUCACUCGUGUGGCUUUCAAAGGUUCUUAAUCAAUAAGCUCUGUUUAAAGAUAAAAUGUAUUUGGCGCUUUACUAUAAAAAAUCAAAUAAAUAAGAGAAGAAUUUCUCUGCUUAGACCAGGGUUAGACAAUUGGAACCCCUUCACACAUCACACAACUCAAAACUUCAACAGAGCACAGCUUGAAAGCCAUUGGCCAAACUCCCACUCUUCACUUCCACAAAUGAAGUCACCAUU